RNAcentral lists this ribosomal RNA (508 nucleotides) under uncultured bacterium. Its description in RNAcentral is "partial 16S ribosomal RNA". It matches the Rfam family "Bacterial small subunit ribosomal RNA", at positions 28 to 507 of the family's 1533-position model. The record is from RNAcentral.
GACGAACGCUGGCGGCGUGCCUAAUACAUGCAAGUCGAACGCUUCUUUCCUCCCGAGUGCUUGCACUCCAUUGGAAAGAGGAGUGGCGGACGGGUGAGUAACACGUGGGUAACCUACCCAUCAGAGGGGGAUAACACUUGGAAACAGGUGCUAAUACCGCAUAACAGUUUAUGCCGCAUGGCAUCAGAGUGAAAGGCGCUUUCGGGUGUCGCCGCUGGCUGGACCCGCGGUGCAUUAGCUAGUUGGUGAGGUAACGGCUCACCAAGGCCACGAUGCAUAGCCGACCUGAGAGGGUGAUCGGCCACACUGGGACUGAGACACGGCCCAGACUCCUACGGGAGGCAGCAGUAGGGAAUCUUCGGCAAUGGACGAAAGUCUGACCGAGCAACGCCGCGUGAGUGAAGAAGGUUUUCGGAUCGUAAAACUCUGUUGUUAGAGAAGAACAAGGACGUUAGUAACUGAACGUCCCCUGACGGUAUCUAACCAGAAAGCCACGGCUAACUACGUG